GGUGACGAGUGGCGGACGGGUGAGUAAUGUCUGGGAAACUGCCUGAUGGAGGGGGAUAACUACUGGAAACGGUAGCUAAUACCGCAUAACGUCGCAAGACCAAAGAGGGGGACCUUCGGGCCUCUUGCCAUCAGAUGUGCCCAGAUGGGAUUAGCUAGUAGGUGGGGUAAUGGCUCACCUAGGCGACGAUCCCUAGCUGGUCUGAGAGGAUGACCAGCCACACUGGAACUGAGACACGGUCCAGACUCCUACGGGAGGCAGCAGUGGGGAAUAUUGCACAAUGGGCGCAAGCCUGAUGCAGCCAUGCCGCGUGUAUGAAGAAGGCCUUCGGGUUGUAAAGUACUUUCAGCGGGGAGGAAGGUGUUGUGGUUAAUAACCACAGCAAUUGACGUUACCCGCAGAAGAAGCACCGGCUAACUCCGUGCCAGCAGCCGCGGUAAUACGGAGGGUGCAAGCGUUAAUCGGAAUUACUGGGCGUA
This 479-nucleotide ribosomal RNA is filed under the name uncultured Gammaproteobacteria bacterium. RNAcentral describes it as "bacterial SSU rRNA". It matches the Rfam family "Bacterial small subunit ribosomal RNA", at positions 87 to 562 of the family's 1533-position model. The record is from RNAcentral. Lineage: Bacteria; Pseudomonadati; Pseudomonadota; Gammaproteobacteria.